UGAUGAUCCCAAUGGUGACGUGUCUCCCAUCCAUCCCAUAACCCCACCGAUGAUCCCAAUGGUGACCCGUCACUCAUUGAUCCCAUGACCCCACCAAUGAUCCCACUGGUGACGUGUCUCCCAUCGAUCCCAUGACCCCACCGAUGAUCCCAAUGGUGAUGUGUCUCCCAUCGAUCCCAUGACCCCACCGAUGAUCCCAAUGGUGACGUGUCUCCCAUUGAUCCCAUGACCCCACGAUGAUCCCAAUGGUGACGUGUCUCCCAUUGAUCCCAUGACCCCCCCAGCAAUCCAACCCAUCCUACAGAUGGUCCCAUUUAUCCCAGCGAUACCAGCAAUCCCACUGAUGCCACCGAUGAUGCCACCAGUGACCCAUUGGUCCCGUGACCCCACUGAUGAUCCCAUCCAUCCCACCCAUCCCAGCAGUCCCACCGAUGAUCCCAUCCGUCCCAGUGAUCCCACUGAUACCAACUAUGAUCCCAUCCGUGAUCCCACCCGUGUCACCAUCGAUCACAUGACGUCACUGUUGAUCCCAUCCAUCCCACCAUCCCAGUCAUCUCAGUGAUCCCAUCCAUCCCAGCGAUCCCAGCGAUCCCAGUGAUCCCACCAAUCCCAGUGAUGAUCCCAUCCAUCCCAGUAUGAUCCCAUCCAUCCCAUCAAUCCCAGUGAUGAUCCCAUCCAUCCCAGUGAUGAUCCCAUCCACCCCACCAAUCCCACCAUUCCCAGUGAUGAUCCCACCAAUCCCAGUAUGAUCCCAUCCAUCCCAUCCGUCCCAGUGAUGAUCCCAUCCAUCCCACCAAACCCACCAAUCCCAGUGAUGAUCCCACCAAUCCCAGUAUGAUCCCACCCGUCCCAUCCAUCCCACCAAUCCCAGUAUGAUCCCAUCCACCCCACCAAUCCCAGUGAUGAUCCCAUCCAUCCCACCAACCCCAGUGAUGAUCCCAUCCAUCCCAGUAUGAUCCCAUCCAUCCCCCCAAUCCCAGUACGAUCCCAUCCAUCCCACCAAUCCCACCAAUCCCAGUGAUGAUCCCAUCCAUCCCAGUAUGAUCCCAUCCAUCCCACCAAUCCCAGUAAUGAUCCCAUCCAUCCCUCCAAUCCCACCAAUCCCAGUGAUAAUCCCACCCAUCCCACCAAUCCCAGUGAUGAUCCCAUCCAUCCCAAUAUGAUCCCAUCCAUCCCAGUAUGAUCCGAUCCGUCCCACCAAUCCCAGUGAUGAUCCCAUCCAUCCCUCCAAUCCCACCAAUCCCAGUGAUGAUCCCAUCCAUCCCAUGAUGAUCCCAUCCAUCCCACCAAUCCCAGUGAUGAUCCCAUCCAUCCCCGUAUGAUCCCAUCCAUCCCCCCAAUCCCUGUGAUGAUCCCAUCCAUCCCAGUGAUGAUCCCAUCCAUCCCAUCCAUCCCACCGAUCCCAGUGAUGAUCCCAUCCAUCCCAGUAUGAUCCCAUCCGUCCCACCGAUCCCAGUGAUGAUCCCAUCCAUCCCAGUAUGAUCCCACCAAUCCCAGUGAUGAUCCCAUCCAUCCCAGUGAUGAUCCCAUCCAUGACCCCACCCAUGUCACCCAUCGACCCCAUGACCCCAACAAUGAUCCCAUCCAUCCCAACAAUGAUCCCAUCCAUCCCAGAAAUCCCACUGAUCCCACUGAUGCCACCAGUGACCUCACCCAUGUCAACCAUUGAUCCCAUGACCCCACUGAUGAUUCUACCCAUCCCACUGAUGCUCCCAUCCAUUCCAGUGAUCCUAUUGAUCCCACUGAUGUCACCGAUGAUCCCAUUGGUGACCCCACCCAUGUCACCCAUCGAUCCCAUGACCCCGCCAAUGAUCCCAUCCAUCCCAUUGAUCCCACCAUUGAUCCCACCCAUGUCACCCACCGAUCCCAUGACCCCACUGAUGAUCCCACCCAUCCCAACGAUCCCACUGAUCCCAUGGAUCCCAGUGAUGCUCCCAUCCACACCAGCGAUCACACUGAUCCCAUGACCCCACUGAUGAUCCCAUCCAUCCCACUGAUCCCACUGAUCCCACUGAUGCCACCAGCGACCUCACCCAUGUCAACCAUUCAUCCCAUGACCACACUGAUGUUCCCACCCAUCCCACUGAUGCUCCCAUCCAUUCCAGUGAUCCUAUUGAUCCCACUGAUGUCACCGAUGAUCCCAUUGGUGACCCCACCCAUGUCACCUAUCGAUCAAAUGACCCCACCAAUGAUCCCAUCCAUCCCACUGAUCCCAUCCAUGAUCCCACCCUUGUCACCCAUCGACCCCAUGACCCCACUGAUGAUCCCACCCAUCCCAACGAUCCCACUGACCCCAUGGAUCCCAGUGAUGAUCCCAUCCACACCAGCGAUCCCACUGAUUCCAUCACCUCACUGAUGAUCCCAUCCAUCCCAGCGAUCCCAUUGAUCCCAUGGAUGCCACUGAUGAUCCCAUCCAUGAUCCCACCCAUGUCACCCAUCGAUCCCAUGACCCCACUGCUGAUCCCAUCCAUCCCAGCUAUCCCAGUCUCAGUGGUCCCAUACAUCCUGCUGAUGAUCCCACUGAUCCCAUACACCACGCCAAUCCCACCGGUGAUUCCAUCCA
Molecule: long non-coding RNA, 2563 nt
Organism: Gallus gallus (chicken)
Lineage: Eukaryota; Metazoa; Chordata; Aves; Galliformes; Phasianidae
Source: Ensembl